Rhizoclosmatium globosum is the source of this 73-nucleotide transfer RNA. It matches the Rfam family "tRNA". Rfam says of the family: Transfer RNA (tRNA) molecules are approximately 80 nucleotides in length. Their secondary structure includes four short double-helical elements and three loops (D, anti-codon, and T loops). NCBI's taxonomy places the organism in Eukaryota, Fungi, Chytridiomycota, Chytridiomycetes, Chytridiales, Chytriomycetaceae. The record is from Rfam.
GGGCGCAUGGCAAAAUGGUUACCGCGCUUGACUACGAAUCAAGAGAUUCCAGGUUCGACCCCUGGUGCGCUCG